Molecule: ribosomal RNA, 2287 nt
Filed under: human gut metagenome
Description: bacterial LSU rRNA
Rfam family: Bacterial large subunit ribosomal RNA
Source: RNAcentral
GAAAGUAAAUAAGGGCGCAUGGCGGAUGCCUUGGCUCUCGGAGGCGAUGAAGGACGUGAUAAGCUGCGAUAAGCUUCGGGUAGGUGCAAAUAACCUUUGAUCCGAAGAUUUCCGAAUGGGACAACCCGUCAUUCUGAAGGAAUGACAUCUUGCAUAGCAAGAGGCUAACGCAGGGAACUGAAACAUCUUAGUACCUGCAGGAAAAGAAAAUAAUAAUGAUUCCCCAAGUAGUGGCGAGCGAACGGGGAUUAGCCCAAACCAAUGUUGUUACGGCAAUAUUGGGGUUGUAGGACCACGAUGUCGCAAGAACUUUAGUGAGAAGAAUUCUUUGGAAAAUGAAACCAUAGACGGUGAUAGUCCGGUAUUCGAAGCUAAACGAAGCGUAGUGGUAUCCUGAGUAGCGCGGGACACGAGGAAUCUUGCGUGAAUCUGCCGGGACCAUCCGGUAAGGCUAAAUACUCCCGAGAGACCGAUAGCGAACCAGUACCGUGAGGGAAAGGUGAAAAGCACUUCGAACAGAAGAGUGAAAUAGUUCCUGAAACCGUGCGCCUACAAGCGGUCGGAGCUCGUUAAUGAGUGACGGCGUGCCUUUUGCAUAAUGAACCUACGAGUUGCCUUUGCCGGCAAGGUUAAGUGUGACGACACACGUAUCCGAAGCGAAAGCGAGUCUGAACAGGGCGUAUAGUCGGCAGUGGCAGACGCGAAACCAAGUGAUCUACCCUUGGCCAGGUUGAAGGCUGGGUAACACCAGCUGGAGGACCGCACCAAUAAGCGUUGAAAAGCUUCUGGAUGAGCUGAGGGUAGGGGUGAAAGGCUAAUCAAACUUGGAGAUAGCUCGUACUCCCCGAAAUGCAUUUAGGUGCAGCCUUGGGAAUUACUACUGUGAGGUAGAGCGACUGAUAAGAUGCGAGGGCUUCACCGCCUAUCAAGUCUUGAUAAACUCCGAAUGCGCAGUAGUUCGAUCCCAGGAGUGAGGGCAUGGGUGCUAAGGUCCAUGUCCUAAAGGAGAAGAAUCCGGACCAUCAGCUAAGGUCCCGAAAUAAUUGCUAAGUUGAACUAACGAAGUCAGAUUGCUAAGACAGCUAGGAUGUUGGCUUGGAAGCAGCCAUUCAUUUAAAGAGUGCGUAACAGCUCACUAGUCGAGGAGUUUGGCGUGGAUAAUAAUCGGGCAUUAAGCAAUUUACCGAAGCUAUGGGAUCAGUAAUGAUCGGUAGGGGAGCAUUCCACUCUGCGUCGAAGGUGAAGCGUGAGCUUUGCUGGAGCGUGUGGAAAAGCAAAUGUAGGUAUAAGUAACGAUAAAGGGGGUGAGAAACCCCCUCGCCGAAAGACUAAGGUUUCCUGAUCAACGCUAAUCGGAUCAGGGUCAGUCGGGUCCUAAGGCUCAGCCGAACGGCGAUGCCGAUGGCAGAAACGGUUAAUAUUCCGUUACUACCUUCAGGAGUGACGUGGAGACGCAGUAGUGACAGUGCCGCCAUCUGACGGAAUAGAUGGUUGAAGGGUGUAGGAGUCGAUCAUGGCAGGCAAAUCCACCAUGAGAUCCGAACCUGAUAGUAUGCCGCGUCCUUCGGGACAAGGCAAUAGUGCGCGUAAGCAUGCUGCCGAGAAAAUCCGCUAAACUUAAUCCUGUAGGUACCCGUACCGCAAACGGACACACGUAGUCGGGAUGAAUAUUCUAAGGCGCUUGAGUGAUUCACGGUUAAGGAACUAGGCAAACUGACCCUGUAACUUCGGGAUAAAGGGUCCCUACCCGGUGACGGGAGGGCGCAGAGAAUAGGUCCAGGCAACUGUUUAACAAAAACACAGGGCUGUGCUAAAUCGAAAGAUCCUGUAUACAGCCUGACACCUGCCCGGUGCUGGAAGGUUAAGAGGAGACGUCAUCGUUGAGAGAAGCGUUGAAUUGAAGCCCCAGUAAACGGCGGCCGUAACUAUAACGGUCCUAAGGUAGCGAAAUUCCUUGUCGGGUAAGUUCCGACCUGCACGAAUGGUGUAAUGAUCUGGACACUGUCUCAACCGUGAGCUCAGUGAAAUUGUAGUAUCGGUGAAGAUGCCGAUUACCCGCGAUGGGACGAAAAGACCCCGUGAACCUUUACUAUAGCUUAUCAUUGAAUCUGGGCACGUGAUGUGUAGGAUAGGUCGGAGGCUUUGAAGCAGGUACGCCAGUAUUUGUGGAGCCGCUGUUGAAAUACGACCCUUUAUUUGUUUGGAUUCUAACCCGUGGAACGGGGACAUUGAUUGGUGGGUAGUUUGACUGGGGUGGUCGCCUCCAAAAGCGUAACGGAGGCUUCUA